CCCGGGCCUUGUAUACACCGCCCGUCACACCACGAGAGUUUGUAACACCCGAAGUCGGUGAGGUAACCUUUAUGGGGCCAGCCGCCGAAGGUGGGACAGAUGAUUGGGUG
RNAcentral lists this ribosomal RNA (110 nucleotides) under uncultured bacterium. RNAcentral describes it as "partial 16S ribosomal RNA". It matches the Rfam family "Bacterial small subunit ribosomal RNA", at positions 1373 to 1482 of the family's 1533-position model. The record is from RNAcentral.